This 575-nucleotide long non-coding RNA is filed under the name Rattus norvegicus (Norway rat). RNAcentral's name for it is "long non-coding RNA NONRATT031862". Lineage: Eukaryota; Metazoa; Chordata; Mammalia; Rodentia; Muridae. The record is from RNAcentral.
CCCCUCUCCCCAGCUCAGCGGUGCUGUCUGUGUUCCACAAGAAGGCACGGCCUCCAGGGAUGAGAGCCCGCCAGGCUGGGGCCACCUCGCUGGCAUCUGGAGCCCCUAGGACUGUCUUUCCCACCAUCCUCGGGGCCUGGACCAGGAGGUGGCUGGUCGCAGCAGCAGGGUCAAGCUGGAGACGCCUGCCUGAGAAGAUGAGGAUUACCAUGUUUUCCUAGGGUCCCAGCAGGAAAGUAUAUCAAAUUUAAUCUGCGUCAUUUGAAUAUUUAAAUGAAGGCAUUGCUUGUAAAGCUGGGGGUGGGGCUUAGGGAUACCUUGGAGGGAGCUGGCAGUGCUUGGGGGCUAGUGAAAUGAAAGUGAUAUUAUAACUCUAGGCUUGGGGGCCUGGGGUGCUGGCAUCCCUCACUGUCUAAGCCUCCUCCAGAACUGGCAAAGGAAUCCCACACCUUCUUCCCCGGGCACGGCACAAGGUGGAGAAAGGAUAAAGAAACUUGGUCUCACAUAGUGUGCCUGCUUGAAUCAUAACAUGGUGCGUUCUGACAUCUCUAGAACUUAAAUGUUUGCAGUGCAGA